Molecule: ribosomal RNA, 465 nt
Filed under: Vreelandella stevensii
Lineage: Bacteria; Pseudomonadati; Pseudomonadota; Gammaproteobacteria; Oceanospirillales; Halomonadaceae
Description: partial 16S ribosomal RNA
Rfam family: Bacterial small subunit ribosomal RNA
Source: RNAcentral
CCUACGGGCCGCAGCAGUGGGGAAUAUUGGACAAUGGGCGAAAGCCUGAUCCAGCCAUGCCGCGUGUGUGAAGAAGGCCUUCGGGUUGUAAAGCACUUUCAGUGGGGAAGAAAGCCUUGGGGCUAAUACCCUCGAGGAAGGACAUCACCCACAGAAGAAGCACCGGCUAACUCCGUGCCAGCAGCCGCGGUAAUACGGAGGGUGCGAGCGUUAAUCGGAAUUACUGGGCGUAAAGCGCGCGUAGGCGGUCUGAUAAGCCGGUUGUGAAAGCCCCGGGCUCAACCUGGGAACGGCAUCCGGAACUGUCAGGCUAGAGUGCAGGAGAGGAAGGUAGAAUUCCCGGUGUAGCGGUGAAAUGCGUAGAGAUCGGGAGGAAUACCAGUGGCGAAGGCGGCCUUCUGGACUGACACUGACGCUGAGGUGCGAAAGCGUGGGUAGCAAACAGGAUUAGAUACCCUAGUAGUC